GCACUCAUGGCGGAAUUGGCAGACGCGCAGGACUUAGAAUCCUGUGGGCAACCGUGCAGGUUCAAGUCCUGUUGAGUGCACCA
Molecule: transfer RNA, 83 nt
Filed under: Clostridia bacterium
Lineage: Bacteria; Bacillati; Bacillota; Clostridia
Description: tRNA-Leu
Rfam family: tRNA
About the family: Transfer RNA (tRNA) molecules are approximately 80 nucleotides in length. Their secondary structure includes four short double-helical elements and three loops (D, anti-codon, and T loops). Further hydrogen bonds mediate the characteristic L-shaped molecular structure. tRNAs have two regions of fundamental functional importance: the anti-codon, which is responsible for specific mRNA codon recognition, and the 3' end, to which the tRNAs corresponding amino acid is attached (by aminoacyl-tRNA synthetases). tRNAs cope with the degeneracy of the genetic code in two manners: having more than one tRNA (with a specific anti-codon) for a particular amino acid; and 'wobble' base-pairing, i.e. permitting non-standard base-pairing at the 3rd anti-codon position.
Source: RNAcentral